GGCUCGUUGGUGAAAUGGUUAACACACUGCCCUCUCAAGGCAGCAUUUACGGGUUCGAACCCCGUACGAGUCA
RNAcentral lists this transfer RNA (73 nucleotides) under Dielma fastidiosa. Its description in RNAcentral is "Clostridiaceae bacterium JC13 tRNA". It matches the Rfam family "tRNA". From Rfam's summary of the family: Transfer RNA (tRNA) molecules are approximately 80 nucleotides in length. Their secondary structure includes four short double-helical elements and three loops (D, anti-codon, and T loops). The record is from Rfam by way of RNAcentral. Lineage: Bacteria; Bacillati; Bacillota; Erysipelotrichia; Erysipelotrichales; Erysipelotrichaceae.